Molecule: ribosomal RNA, 512 nt
Filed under: uncultured bacterium
Lineage: Bacteria
Description: bacterial SSU rRNA
Rfam family: Bacterial small subunit ribosomal RNA
Source: RNAcentral
CUGGCUCAGGAUGAACGCUAGCUACAGGCUUAACACAUGCAAGUCGAGGGGCAUCAGGGUCUGUGCUUGCACAGAUUGCUGGCGACCGGCGCACGGGUGAGUAACGCGUAUCCAACCUUCCCCCUUAGUAGAGGAUAGCCCGGCGAAAGUCGGAUUAAUACUCUAUGUUGUUCAAUGCGGACAUCUAAGUUGAACCAAAGGUUUACCGCUAAGGGAUGGGGGAUGCGUCUGAUUAGGUAGUAGGCGGGGUAACGGCCCACCUAGCCGACGAUCAGUAGGGGUUCUGAGAGGAAGGUCCCCCACAUUGGAACUGAGACACGGUCCAAACUCCUACGGGAGGCAGCAGUGAGGAAUAUUGGUCAAUGGGCGCGAGCCUGAACCAGCCAAGUAGCGUGCAGGAUGACGGCCCUAUGGGUUGUAAACUGCUUUUAUGCGGGGAUAAAGUGCACCACGUGUGGUGUUUUGUAGGUACCGCAUGAAUAAGGACCGGCUAAUUCCGUGCCAGCCGCGGC